This 1550-nucleotide ribosomal RNA is filed under the name Klebsiella pneumoniae. Its description in RNAcentral is "bacterial SSU rRNA". It matches the Rfam family "Bacterial small subunit ribosomal RNA". Lineage: Bacteria; Pseudomonadati; Pseudomonadota; Gammaproteobacteria; Enterobacterales; Enterobacteriaceae. RNAcentral also lists the same sequence under 1 other name. The record is from RNAcentral.
AAAUUGAAGAGUUUGAUCAUGGCUCAGAUUGAACGCUGGCGGCAGGCCUAACACAUGCAAGUCGAGCGGUAGCACAGAGAGCUUGCUCUCGGGUGACGAGCGGCGGACGGGUGAGUAAUGUCUGGGAAACUGCCUGAUGGAGGGGGAUAACUACUGGAAACGGUAGCUAAUACCGCAUAAUGUCGCAAGACCAAAGUGGGGGACCUUCGGGCCUCAUGCCAUCAGAUGUGCCCAGAUGGGAUUAGCUAGUAGGUGGGGUAACGGCUCACCUAGGCGACGAUCCCUAGCUGGUCUGAGAGGAUGACCAGCCACACUGGAACUGAGACACGGUCCAGACUCCUACGGGAGGCAGCAGUGGGGAAUAUUGCACAAUGGGCGCAAGCCUGAUGCAGCCAUGCCGCGUGUGUGAAGAAGGCCUUCGGGUUGUAAAGCACUUUCAGCGGGGAGGAAGGCGGUGAGGUUAAUAACCUCACCGAUUGACGUUACCCGCAGAAGAAGCACCGGCUAACUCCGUGCCAGCAGCCGCGGUAAUACGGAGGGUGCAAGCGUUAAUCGGAAUUACUGGGCGUAAAGCGCACGCAGGCGGUCUGUCAAGUCGGAUGUGAAAUCCCCGGGCUCAACCUGGGAACUGCAUUCGAAACUGGCAGGCUAGAGUCUUGUAGAGGGGGGUAGAAUUCCAGGUGUAGCGGUGAAAUGCGUAGAGAUCUGGAGGAAUACCGGUGGCGAAGGCGGCCCCCUGGACAAAGACUGACGCUCAGGUGCGAAAGCGUGGGGAGCAAACAGGAUUAGAUACCCUGGUAGUCCACGCCGUAAACGAUGUCGAUUUGGAGGUUGUGCCCUUGAGGCGUGGCUUCCGGAGCUAACGCGUUAAAUCGACCGCCUGGGGAGUACGGCCGCAAGGUUAAAACUCAAAUGAAUUGACGGGGGCCCGCACAAGCGGUGGAGCAUGUGGUUUAAUUCGAUGCAACGCGAAGAACCUUACCUGGUCUUGACAUCCACAGAACUUUCCAGAGAUGGAUUGGUGCCUUCGGGAACUGUGAGACAGGUGCUGCAUGGCUGUCGUCAGCUCGUGUUGUGAAAUGUUGGGUUAAGUCCCGCAACGAGCGCAACCCUUAUCCUUUGUUGCCAGCGGUCCGGCCGGGAACUCAAAGGAGACUGCCAGUGAUAAACUGGAGGAAGGUGGGGAUGACGUCAAGUCAUCAUGGCCCUUACGACCAGGGCUACACACGUGCUACAAUGGCAUAUACAAAGAGAAGCGACCUCGCGAGAGCAAGCGGACCUCAUAAAGUAUGUCGUAGUCCGGAUUGGAGUCUGCAACUCGACUCCAUGAAGUCGGAAUCGCUAGUAAUCGUAGAUCAGAAUGCUACGGUGAAUACGUUCCCGGGCCUUGUACACACCGCCCGUCACACCAUGGGAGUGGGUUGCAAAAGAAGUAGGUAGCUUAACCUUCGGGAGGGCGCUUACCACUUUGUGAUUCAUGACUGGGGUGAAGUCGUAACAAGGUAACCGUAGGGGAACCUGCGGUUGGAUCACCUCCUUACCUUAAAGAA